GGACGAGCCUCUGGAGAGAUCCAUUGAUUUGGACGCCGAAGGCGCAAGCGGCUAUGCCGUGAAACGCUCAGGCAAAAGGACAGAGGUGCUGAA
This 93-nucleotide non-coding RNA is filed under the name Ferrimonas balearica. RNAcentral describes it as "Glycine sequence". It matches the Rfam family "Glycine riboswitch aptamer". From Rfam's summary of the family: This family represents the bacterial glycine riboswitch. RNAcentral also lists the same sequence under 1 other name. Lineage: Bacteria; Pseudomonadati; Pseudomonadota; Gammaproteobacteria; Alteromonadales; Ferrimonadaceae. The record is from RNAcentral.